Molecule: long non-coding RNA, 222 nt
Filed under: Vicia faba (fava bean)
Lineage: Eukaryota; Viridiplantae; Streptophyta; Magnoliopsida; Fabales; Fabaceae
Source: RNAcentral
AUGUCAAGAGAGAAUGAUAAACUUUACUUCAUUGAUUAUGAAUAUGCAUCAUACAACUACAGAGGCUAUGACAUAGGGAAUCACUUUGCAGAAUAUGUCGGUUUUGAAUGUGACUACUCCUUGUACCCAAAUAUGAAUGAACAAUAUCAUUUCUUCAGGCAUUACUUACAGCCGGACAGACCUCAAGAGGUAACAAUCAUAGUGAAGGGGAUUAAUAUUUAA